Molecule: ribosomal RNA, 352 nt
Filed under: uncultured bacterium
Lineage: Bacteria
Description: partial 16S ribosomal RNA
Rfam family: Bacterial small subunit ribosomal RNA
Source: RNAcentral
CCUACGGGAGGCUGCAGUCGGGAAUAUUGCUCAAUGGAGGAAACUCUGACGCAGUGACGCCGCGUGCAGGAAGAAGGUCUUCGGAUUGUAAACUUCUUUAUACAGGGAAGAAAAAAGACAGUACUGUUAGAAUAAGCUUCGGCUAACUACGUGCCAGCAGCCGCGGUAAUACGUCGGGAGCAAGCGUUAUCCGGAUUUAUUGGGGGGAAAGGGAUCGUAGACGGAGAAUCAAGUUCGGUGUGAAAUCCCUCGGAUAAACAGGAGAACUGCAACUAAAACUAGCACCCUUGAGUACUGGUGAGGGAGGUGGAAUGCCUGGGGGAGCGGUGAAAUGCGGAGAUAUAAGGAGGAA